Ochotona princeps (American pika) is the source of this 112-nucleotide small nuclear RNA. Its record names the gene U5. It matches the Rfam family "U5 spliceosomal RNA". Rfam says of the family: U5 RNA is a component of both types of known spliceosome. The precise function of this molecule is unknown, though it is known that the 5' loop is required for splice site selection and p220 binding, and that both the 3' stem-loop and the Sm site are important for Sm protein binding and cap methylation. NCBI's taxonomy places the organism in Eukaryota, Metazoa, Chordata, Mammalia, Lagomorpha, Ochotonidae. The record is from Ensembl.
AAUCUGGUUUCUCUUCAAAUCAUAUAAAUCUUUUGCCUUUUACUAAAGAUUUCCAUGGAGAAGGCCCAAUCCCAGAACGAUGCUUUUGUGCGCAUAAAAUGUAGCAUAUACG